Oryctolagus cuniculus (rabbit) is the source of this 1007-nucleotide long non-coding RNA. RefSeq lists it as uncharacterized. The record is from RefSeq and is a predicted model, not a curated record. NCBI's taxonomy places the organism in Eukaryota, Metazoa, Chordata, Mammalia, Lagomorpha, Leporidae.
GUGCGGCCCGGCCCUCUACCCCUGCACGACUGAGUGGCCGUCUGAUACAGCUUUGCCUCAGUGUCCAGGGCUGGUGCCGGGUCCGGCAAGCAGUGCCUUGCUCAGCCAGUGAAUGGCAGAUUAACCAUUUUGAGGGAACCAGGGAGCGAAGAGAUUUUUUGUUAUUGUUAUAAACGAUGCUUCACGGAGCAUUUUUCUGUCUGUGCGAUACGAGGGUGUCCCGAGUGUGUUCUUCCUGCCUCCAUGCCACUCUCAACUCCGCUCGCUCUGAUUGGGUCAUGUGACCCAAGCCGCCCCGCCUUCCCCACAGCCAAUUGGAUAAGGGUGGUCACCUGACCACCUGGCCCCAAGCCAUAGGCUGGAUUAAACCAAUCAGAUUCUCUCUUGAGAUUUGAACCGGAAAGGUCGUGGCCAGACAUUAACAAGGUGGGAUGCUGGACCCAGGGGCUGAGCCAGAUUCGGGCUGGGCGUAGUGGCAGCGUGUGGAAGCAGUUGUUCCUUAGGAUGGAAGUCCCUGCUUCCUUGACAUCUGUGGGUCCUGGGUUGUGGACAUCAGACCCGGGGGAGUUACUGAGCAACCGGGCCACCUUUCUGAAGGCUCAGCCCUCCGUGGGAGGCUGAUGAAGAAACUGAGGCACGGAGAGCCCAAGCAAGCUGCCCAAGGCUGUUGAAGGGAAGACUUGCCUACCUGGACAUACUCUGCCUCUCCACCUGGUCCAGUUCUGUGUUCUAAUAAGACCCCAAAUGCUAGGUCACUUCAUUUGCCUGUUAUGUCUUUCUGCGCAGCCAUCCAGAGAAAGCUUCCAGGGCAAGCUCCUCUUUAUGUCGCUCUUGUGGCCAAGGGAAGUCCCACCCAGAGCAGACCGUAAGGCUGAAUCUUGGGAGCCAGAUCUUAAGAGAGGAGAAAGAAAAGGAACUGUGCCGGAUGAACUUGACAAAGAGCCACAGCAGAGAUACAGUCACGGGUGGACCAGCCUGUGGAACCCACAGCAGCAGGAGGAGAGAGA